UUUGGCGAGUUCCUCGGCCGGCUCCGCCUCCGAGCAGCUCAGAAAUCCCUCCGGAGGCCGCCGGCAGUCGUCGCGCCGCCGCCGCCAUGAUCCACCUCCGGAGGCGCAUCGUGUCUCUCCUCCUGCAGCUCGAGUCCCAUGUCCCCCAUGCUGUAGUAAUUUCUCCGCUCAUAUCCCUCCGCCGCGCCGUCUCCGCCACCGCGCCAGCUUCCCCCAAACCCUUCGCCGUCGAGGAGUACCUCGUCGCCACCUGCGGCCUCACCCGGGCCCAAGCAGCCAAGGCUUCGGGGAAGCUCUCCCACCUCAGGUCCCCCUCCAGGCCCGACGCCGUCCUCGCCUUCCUCUCCGGCCUCGGCGUCUCGCGCCCCGACAUCGCCGCCACCGUCGCCGCCGACCCAGGGUUGCUGUGCGCCAGUGUGGAGAAAAACCUAGCUAGACGCGUCGCCGAGCUCGGCGACCUGGGCAUCUCGCGCUCCCAAAUCGCGCGCCUCCUCCCUCUCGCUACCAACACCUUCCGCAGCUGCUCCCUCGCCACAAACCUCGGUUUCUGGCUCCCGGUCUUGGGCUCAUUCGAGAAGAUCCUAAAUUGCCUCAAGAUAAACAGCUCCAUCCUCAGCGCCAGCCUCGAGAAGGUGGUGAAGCCGAACCUGGCGCUCCUCAAGGAGUGCGGGAUGGAUGCUUCUGAUAUUGCCAGUUCUUCAAACCUCUACUCCAGACGGCUGUUCACCUUGAAUCCCAGCUAUCUCCGGGACGCCGUGGCACGAGCGGAGGAGUUAGGCCUAGACCGCCGUUCUCGGAUGUUCCGGUACGCACUCCUUGCGGUGGCCUUUACAAGCAAGGAGUCUGUUGCUACGAAAUUACGGAUCCUGGAUGGGCUUGGGUUUUCGCGGGAUGAUUUCUUAUUGAUUGUUAGGAGGGCGCCCAAGAUUCUGUCAUUAUCUGAAAAAAAGAUACGGCGAACUGUGGAGUUCCUCAAGAGGGAUAUUGGACUGGAGGAACGGUACAUUGCACAAAGGCCAGCACUGUUCACUUAUAGCCUUGAAAGGCGGUUGUUGCCUCGGCAUCACUUGCUCAAGGUCCUCCGGGCAAAGGGAUUGCUGAAUUGCGAGUUGGAUUACUACCGCACAGCCACAGUGGGUGAGGAGGAGUUUGUGCAAAGGUUCGUGGAUCCUUAUAAGGACCACAUUCCAGGCCUCGCUGAAGCUUACGCAUCCCGUUGUUUUGCGAAAUUAAAUGGAGUUGCUUCACUGCUUGGACUGUAGACUGAAAUGGAUGGUGUUGAAGUUCCUCUGUCGAUUUUGGCUAGAUCGUCGCACAGGAAUGCAAAUUAUUAAGUAGCUCUGAUGAUUGAGAAUGACAAUGGUUUAUGGCAAUGGGUUUGGAAUAAAAAGGCAUUGAGAUUUUAUCUGACAGGCUAAACACUGGAUGAUCCAAGCUGUUGGGCUAAAAUAUUUAAUUGGGAAUUUGCUUUGAAAAAAAAAAGGUGCUAGCAGGUGUUGCAAAGUGAACAAGAAUAGCAAGGUUUAGAGUACCUGCUGACAAUCCAGUAACACACCUUAGAUUUUGUAGCAACUAUCACAGGAAUGUGCUCAAACACAAUCAUGUUGGGGUUUAAUUCAAAUAUUCUCUGACAAGUAACCAGACUGCCAAACAUGGGUUUAGCCAUGCUGGGACUGUUCUUGUUCUCUUUCUCUGAGAUGACUAUUAUCAACUGUGAUUGAAUUGUAGGCUAACAUGACUUACAAGUUUUUACAACAUGCUGGGUGCUAUGUUGUUCCUGCAAUGAUGUCUCCCUGUGCGUUCACUCUUUGACGAGGGUGCCCAAUUUUCAAGACAACACACACAAAGGAAGUUGAAUCUUGUGUGGCUUUGGCUCAAAACAUACUCCAUUUCCUUAAUUUCUAUUGGCUCAAGCAUACUGCAGCUAAAGCAAACCUAUUAAGUGUAAAUCCAACUGUGCUAUAUGCAGAUGGGAUAGUACAUAUCCCAAAGCAUAAACCAGAAGUGCAUUACUGAAUGAGCCACUACAAUUAAGAUUUUUUUUCCGGAUGCUGCAUGGAUUGCUGAUGAUCACAGAAACACACUUAUGGUAUCGAUUUGUUUCAUUUUGGCAGAAUAUUUAAUAAAAACAGAAUUGUAAGCAGUAAUCAUCUUUGUAAAGUUUCAUCUGUCCUGCAUUGGUCACACCUGAACGCUUGUAUUUUACAUGGAUGAUUGAUUACAAAACAAUCAAUGCAAGCCAGUUCAUUGCUUGCACACAAGAAACUAGAUUAGGUUCAAUUUAGUUCAGAAAAAUUGGAUUAGGUCCAAUUUAGUUUAGAAAAAUGAAUUAAAUCCAUACUAUUACUACCUCCGUUUCAUAUUACGAGUUACUUUGGUUUUGUUCUAAAUCAAUAGGUUCAAUUUUGACCAAGUCUAUAAAAAAGCGCUUUUGCUAUUCAUCAAACGCUUGAAAUUUUAGAAUUGGUCAGUCGAUUUUCUGGCUACUGGAUUUGUUUCAAGAUUCGUAUGCUAUUUGGGCCUUUUAAGGAUGCAAAAUUUGUGAGCGAGUUGCGCUGCCUAGCCCGUUAAUCCCCACCGCUACACCUCGCAUGA
Molecule: RNA transcript, 2595 nt
Organism: Oryza brachyantha (malo sina)
Lineage: Eukaryota; Viridiplantae; Streptophyta; Magnoliopsida; Poales; Poaceae
Gene name: transcription termination factor MTERF4, chloroplastic-like
Exons: 2
Source: RefSeq, a predicted model, not a curated record